UGGGGAAUAUUGGACAAUGGAGGAAACUCUGAUCCAGCAAUUCUGUGUGUGUGAAGAAGGUUUUAGGACUGUAAAACACUUUUAGUAGGGAAGAAAAAAAUGACGGUACCUACAGAAGAAGCAACGGCUAAAUACGUGCCAGCAGCCGCGGUAAUACGUAUGUUGCGAGCGUUAUCCGGAAUUAUUGGGCUUAAAGGGAGCGUAGGCUGUUUGUUAAGCGUGUUGUGCAAUGUAAGAGCUCAACUUUUAGAUUGCAGCGCGAACUGGCAGACUUGAGGGCGCACAACGUAGGCGGAAAUCAUGGUGUAGCGGUGAAAUGCUUAGAUAUCAUGACGAACUCCGAUUGCGAAGGCAGCUUACGGGAGCGCAACUGACGCUAAAGCUCGAAGGUGCGGGUAUCGAACAGG
Molecule: ribosomal RNA, 407 nt
Filed under: Verrucomicrobiota bacterium
Lineage: Bacteria; Pseudomonadati; Verrucomicrobiota
Description: Verrucomicrobia bacterium partial 16S ribosomal RNA
Rfam family: Bacterial small subunit ribosomal RNA
Source: RNAcentral